This 439-nucleotide ribosomal RNA is filed under the name uncultured bacterium. RNAcentral's name for it is "partial 16S ribosomal RNA". It matches the Rfam family "Bacterial small subunit ribosomal RNA", at positions 338 to 794 of the family's 1533-position model. The record is from RNAcentral.
CCUACGGGAGGCAGCAGUGAGGAAUAUUGGGCAAUGCCCGAAAGGGUGACCCAGCAACGCCGCGUGGAGGAUGAAGUCCUUCUGGACGUAAAGCCCUUUUCUGUGGGACGAUAAUGACGGUACCACAGGAAUAAGCCACGGCUAACUACGUGCCAGCAGCCGCGGUAAUACGUAGGUGGCUAGCGUUAUCCGGAUUCACUGGGCGUAAAGAGCGCGUAGGCGGUGUGCUAAGUUGGACGUGAAAGCCCCCGGCUUAACCGGGGGAGGUCGUCCAAUACUGGUGCACUUGAGGGUGGACGGGGAAAGCGGAAUUCCCGGUGUAGGGGUGAAAUGCGUAGAUAUCGGGAGGAACACCAGUGGCGAGGGCGGCUUUCAAGACCACUCCUGACGCUGAGGCGCGAAAGCGUGGGGAGCGAACGGGAUUAGAUACCCCGGUAGU